GACGAACGCUGGCGGCGUGCUUAACACAUGCAAGUCGAACGGAAAGGCCCUGCUUUUGUGGGGUGCUCGAGUGGCGAACGGGUGAGUAACACGUGAGUAACCUGCCCUUGACUUUGGGAUAACUUCAGGAAACUGGGGCUAAUACCGGAUAGGAGCUCCUGCUGCAUGGUGGGGGUUGGAAAGUUUCGGCGGUUGGGGAUGGACUCGCGGCUUAUCAGCUUGUUGGUGGGGUAGUGGCUUACCAAGGCUUUGACGGGUAGCCGGCCUGAGAGGGUGACCGGCCACAUUGGGACUGAGGUACGGCGCAGACUCCUACGGGAGGCAGCAGUGGGGAAUAUUGCACAAUGGGCGGAAGCCUGAUGCAGCAACGCCGCGUGCGGGAUAACGGCCUUCGAGUUGUAAACCGCUUUCGCCUGUGACGAAGCGUGAGUGACGGUAAUGGGUAAAGAAGCACCGGCUAACUACGUG
This 468-nucleotide ribosomal RNA is filed under the name uncultured bacterium. RNAcentral's name for it is "partial 16S ribosomal RNA". It matches the Rfam family "Bacterial small subunit ribosomal RNA", at positions 28 to 507 of the family's 1533-position model. The record is from RNAcentral.